GUAAAGUUUUAUCCUAGCUUGUUCUUUCAUUUUUAGGUUAAUGGUACAUGUAAAUUUUAAUGUUACAACAUAUUUUGUUAAAACUAAAGGUUAACAAAUGGUCUAAAAGUAGAGGUUUCUUUAAGAAAUAAAUUCUCAGUACCUAGUGCUAAUCAAUAAAUAUACGUUAGAAUUGGUAAUCCUAAUCAUAUACCUGGUUAAAAUUUGUGCCAGCAGCCGCGGUUAGACUGAGAGGUAAAAUGAAAGAAAUUUGGUUAAAAACAGUUAUAUUUAUUAAUUUUUUUUUCUUUUAAAGGACUAUAUUAAUAAAGGGUGAAAUCAGUUUUUUAAUAAAUAGUAAAAUAAAAGUCUUAAUUUUAAUUGAAG
RNAcentral lists this ribosomal RNA (366 nucleotides) under Penaeus monodon (black tiger shrimp). Its description in RNAcentral is "partial 12S ribosomal RNA". The record is from RNAcentral. Lineage: Eukaryota; Metazoa; Arthropoda; Malacostraca; Decapoda; Penaeidae.